This 530-nucleotide ribosomal RNA is filed under the name bacterium 43-L049641-122-013-C06. Its description in RNAcentral is "bacterial SSU rRNA". It matches the Rfam family "Bacterial small subunit ribosomal RNA", at positions 60 to 572 of the family's 1533-position model. The record is from RNAcentral.
AGUCGAGCGGACAGAUGGGAGCUUGCUCCCUGAUGUUAGCGGCGGACGGGUGAGUAACACGUGGGUAACCUGCCUGUAAGACUGGGAUAACUCCGGGAAACCGGGGCUAAUACCGGAUGCUUGUUUGAACCGCAUGGUUCAAACAUAAAAGGUGGCUUCGGCUACCACUUACAGAUGGACCCGCGGCGCAUUAGCUAGUUGGUGAGGUAAUGGCUCACCAAGGCAACGAUGCGUAGCCGACCUGAGAGGGUGAUCGGCCACACUGGGACUGAGACACGGCCCAGACUCCUACGGGAGGCAGCAGUAGGGAAUCUUCCGCAAUGGACGAAAGUCUGACGGAGCAACGCCGCGUGAGUGAUGAAGGUUUUCGGAUCGUAAAGCUCUGUUGUUAGGGAAGAACAAGUGCCGUUCAAAUAGGGCGGCACCUUGACGGUACCUAACCAGAAAGCCACGGCUAACUACGUGCCAGCAGCCGCGGUAAUACGUAGGUGGCAAGCGUUGUCCGGAAUUUAUUGGGCGUAAGGGCUCGC